AAGGGAGAAGAGGGUGUUCUCUGCUUUCUACAGUUAUGGAGUCCCUGUGGGGCCGCUGUUUCCCCUCCCAGGCUCUAAUGCUCAGGAUCCCCCUGCUCCUGGCUAUUCCCUCACCAAGCUUCCAGGCUAUGGCCGACCCCAGCUCCUCCCACACCCUGGAAAGGACCGUUGGGGACUCUGUCCAGCUGCACCUGAUCUCCUCCUUGUCCCCUAAUGUCCGAGAGGUUGAGUGGAGUUGGCAAUCUGAGUCCGAGAAACAACAGUUCCUGGUGUCCUGGAAGCCUGAUGACUCUGGUCCUGACUGGUAUGAGCUUGAAGGAAAAUUCAGGAGCAGUCUCUCCCUGACAGAGAUGGCAGUUUUGAGCAUCAGGAAUCUCAGUACGGAAAUGAGUGGAUGGUAUACAGCAAAUGUCAAAUUCCGCACAGGAAAAUCCCAGAAGGAGGUCUUUAGACUCUGUGUAUAUGAGCCCAUCCCCCACCCCCAGAUUGUGAUUCAUUCACCAAUCAACCCAGCAGGCUGGUGCCAGGUCAGCCUGGAGUGUGAGACCCCAGGAUCUACAGAGAACUGGACAGUGACCUGGCUGACUGAGGGCCUCCCCAGGGAGCUGGAGCAGAGCGGGGCUCUGAGGCCAGCCCCCAGCUCCAGGAAUGUAAACCUGCGCCUGCCCCUGAGCCAGGUGAAUGGCUACCUCACCUGUUUGGUCAGCAACCCUGUGGAGGAGAAGAAUGCCACCUUGCCCCUGCAGAGCAUCUGUCUGGUCAGGGGUUCUCCUGACCACAAAUGGCUUUGGAUAGGCGUCCUGUCCACGCUUCUAAUGAUGAGCCUGGCUGGUGGAGUGUACGUCUGCAUGAGGAAGAAGAUGCAGUCCAGGAGGGGCCGGCCCACUCUGCUGCCCACAGAGCCAGGCUCAGCCGGUGUUCCCCAGGCCCUUCCCACAGAGGAACCUGCUGGCCUGCAGACUGGUAGGGCCAACAGCCACUGCCGUCCCGACGUGGAGAUGAGCCUCCUGAGACACCACAAGAAUGACAUGGAGAGGAGUGGCGGCCAUCCCCUCAGCUCUGAGUGCACCCCAACAGUCUACACUAUCUACGAGAAGGUCCGGCUGAGCCGAGAGCCCCAGGAAGACACCUAGGUCGACGGAGAUGUCAGAGCAUGAGGGGCCUUGGCAAGAUCUGCCCCACCCUACACUCCACCUAAGGCCCCCCAAAUCCCUCCUUAGGUGGAGCGAAGACAAGCCCCCAGGUCUUCCUGCUGUACCCCCCAAGACAAUAGAGCAGCACCACAUGUCCCUGGGCUCCUCACAAAGUUCUUCUCACUUCACAGGUCGUGAACGUUGACCAUGCUGCCUGAGCGUCCAGCACGAGAGACUGGUCCUCGGGCGGGCAGUUGGAUUUCCGACCUUGACCCACUUAUUCCAGUGAGGGAAUACCCAUAGUCAGGCAAGACCUGCGGAGGCAUUUCUGGGAACAGAGAUGUUUUCCUGGAAUUGGGCGGGCCUUGGAUGGAGGACCGCCAGAUGUCACUGCCCAGCCCACCCCCAUGAACAGAGGAGGGAUGGCCCUGGGAAGGUCAAGUCCAGGGUCAGCUUCAGCUCUGCCAGAGGAAGGAAACAGCUCCUGAGCUCCAUCACCUGCAGGCUUACUGUAAACACCAGAAACGCACUAUCCCAAGGUCUCUCUUCAAAGUUCAAGCAAUUUCUCGACCCUUUUUUUUAUUACUUAAUAUAUGUAAAUUGCAAGAAAGUCAAAGGCAUGUCUCCUUGAAAUUAUAUUUCAUCAGUUUUGUUGCAAAUAGGAUCCUGUUCCUGUUGUAUCUUCUAAUUAGUUGUUAAAAUAACACAUAUUAAACACAUAUUGUCACAUCGCUGUUUCUCUACUGCUUGAAACAGCUUUUCAGUUGAUCCCUUUGAAUUUCUGGGCAAAGAACCAUAUUAUCGACAAAUAAUUAUAAUUUUUCCUUCCUUCUUUCCAAUUUUUAUGCUUCAUUCCUCUCCUGUUGUCUCACUAUGCUGGCAAAUACCUCCCAGACCAUGUUUAAGAGGAGUGAUUCUGAAGCACAUCCUUGUUUUGUUCCUAAUUUAUUGUAAGUGCUCCGAGGGCAUCCUUGUUAUUAGUAGAUUUCCUCCUAUUGAACUAUUCUUGUGGUAUUGGAAUAAAUCCCAGUUGAUGUAUUAUUCUCUUAAUGUG
This is a long non-coding RNA of Vulpes vulpes (red fox), 2187 nucleotides long. Ensembl lists it as uncharacterized. NCBI's taxonomy places the organism in Eukaryota, Metazoa, Chordata, Mammalia, Carnivora, Canidae. The record is from Ensembl.